Molecule: non-coding RNA, 1106 nt
Organism: Schizosaccharomyces pombe (fission yeast)
Lineage: Eukaryota; Fungi; Ascomycota; Schizosaccharomycetes; Schizosaccharomycetales; Schizosaccharomycetaceae
Source: the annotation of a GenBank genome assembly
CUAAAAAACAUAUAAAUUUGUAGGAAACAGUACUAAGGCAUCUAGGUUGAGCAAACCUCAAAAUAUGUUACAGCCUAAGUGAAUAUUGGAAGCUUCACCUGUUUGUAUUGUAAAGCGUACAGCUACUGUAUCGAAUAGUUUAGGUCAUUAGUUAAUAAUUGGAUUAAAAAAAAUCAAUAGCGAUAACAAAUCAUGACUAUCUAACAAACAUCAAACUCACAUUAAAGAUUGGAAAAAUGAAGAAACCUUUUGGUAGCCUUCAUCAAAGCGCUUCCUUUGUUCGGGGUUGGAAAGGUCUGCGCGAGCAGCCAUCCAACCAUGGAACAUGUCGCUGAAUGUUUCGAAGGAAGACUUGGCAUAAGCGGGGUUUGUCUUGAACGCUUCUUCCCAUUCUUUGAUGAUUUUAGCAUCUUCGUCUUUAGAGCAAAGAAACAAUACAGGACAAUGAACAUUGGCUGCAUCAGCGCUAUCAGGGAAGGAAGGGUGACAGCUAGCAAUUCCAACGAAAUCAAUUGUAGCGGGAUAAGUGACCAAAACUUUAGCACCCCAACAAAAUCCAUAAGUGCCAAUAGUAACAUUUGGUCCAUGGUUAGCGCGCACAGCUUCUACAACUUUAGCAAGUUUCGGCCAGUGCAAAUUAGGAGAAAUUCUAGUAGAAAAAAAAUCAUUGCAUAACUUUUGGUCCUCUGGCGUCUUAGGGGGUAAAGCAGUAACUGGCAACGGCUUUCCCUCUAAGAAAUCGGGUAAGUAGACGGUAAAGCCAUCAUCUGCCAAUUUAUCAGCACCCUCUUUAAUUUGAUCAGAGAGACCAAAUAUAUCCAUGAAACCAAUCAAAACACGGGUAUUGGAAGUAGAUCCAACAACAUAGGUGGUCAAUCCUCCAAAGUUUUCAAUUUCUUUACCCUUAAAGGUAUAGGACUUGUUAGAAGCUGCGGCACCACGACUUGUUGGACAGCAAGAGGCCAUUUUCUUAAAUUAAUCAAUGGUUCGUACAAAAAGUAACUGUACAAGUUUAUUAAAAAACCACAAUAAAAUGGUAAGUUGGGUGAAAUUUCGUCAGUACUGUUGGCUGUAUAUAUAUAUCAUAUCAUACACAUUAUGUCAAA